GGCCAGACUCCUACGGGAGGCAGCAGUGGGGAAUAUUGCACAAUGGGGGGAACCCUGAUGCAGCGACGCCGCGUGAGUGAAGAAGUAUUUCGGUAUGUAAAGCUCUAUCAGCAGGGACGAAGAUGACGGUACCUGCAGAAGAAGCCCCGGCUAACUACGUGCCAGCAGCCGCGGUAAUACGUAGGGGGCGAGCGUUAUCCGGAUUCACUGGGUGUAAAGGGAGCGUAGACGGCCAAGCAAGCCAGGGGUGAAAGCCCGGGGCCCAACCCCGGGACUGCCCUUGGAACUGCUUGGCUGGAGUGCGGGAGGGGCAGGCGGAAUUCCUGGUGUAGCGGUGAAAUGCGUAGAUAUCAGGAGGAACACCGGCGGCGAAGGCGGCCUGCUGGACCGCUACUGACGUUGAGGCUCGAAAGCGUGGGGAGCGAACAGGAUUAGAUACCCCCGUAC
Molecule: ribosomal RNA, 447 nt
Filed under: uncultured bacterium
Lineage: Bacteria
Description: partial 16S ribosomal RNA
Rfam family: Bacterial small subunit ribosomal RNA
Source: RNAcentral